Molecule: long non-coding RNA, 573 nt
Organism: Pantherophis guttatus
Lineage: Eukaryota; Metazoa; Chordata; Lepidosauria; Squamata; Colubridae
Source: RefSeq, a predicted model, not a curated record
AGCAGGUCACAAGACUGGGUAUUGAAUUCCACAGUUUGCUGCAACUUUACAAAGCUAAACCAUAGGAGGUCUCUUUCGUGGACACUUUUAUCAAGUGGGGAUCCAUUCUAUGACUGCCUUGGUCUACCUGCCAUCAGUUCUCGCUAUGUGACCAGCCCAUUUCCACUUCAAUUCUUUUACUCUCUUGAUGAUAUUGUACACUUUCAUUUGUUCUCUAGUCCAUGUGCAGGUCUUUCUAUCUUGUCUUGUAAUGCCGAGCAUGAUGAAACAUAGAAUGACACACCAGUUGGGGUUGCUGGAAAUGUAUGUCCCAACACAGCUGGAGGAUAUCAGGAUGGAAAAUGUUUCUGCAGAUCUUUGAACAGCCAGUGCCCAGGAGAAAGAGUAGCUUUCCUGUCGGAAGAAAAUGUGUGCCUUUGUGCCAGUGCCUGUGGUUUACUUGGCAGCAGUUUCGGAAGUGGUUUGUCCUUGUGUUUUGCCAAGUGUCACGGCAGUGAACAAGUGCCUAGACCAUUGUUCCUUUUGGAUCCAGAGACAAUAAGCAUAUCAGUAAAUAAAGGAAUUUUGUUAUUA